GGUUAAGCGACUAAGCGUACACGGUGGAUGCCCUGGCAGUCAGAGGCGAUGAAGGGCGUGCUAAUCUGCGAUAAGCGCCGGUAAGGUGAUAUGAACCGUUAUAACCGGCGAUACCCGAAUGGGGAAACCCAGUGUGAUUCGUCACACUAUCAUUAACUGAAUCCAUAGGUUAAUGAGGCGAACCGGGGGAACUGAAACAUCUAAGUACCCCGAGGAAAAGAAAUCAACCGAGAUUCCCCCAGUAGCGGCGAGCGAACGGGGAGGAGCCCAGAGCCUGAAUCAGCAUGUGUGUUAGUGGAAGCGUCUGGAAAGGCGCGCGAUACAGGGUGACAGCCCCGUACACAAAAGCGUAUGUGCUGUGAGCUCGAUGAGUAGGGCGGGACACGUGGUAUCCUGUCUGAAUAUGGGGGGACCAUCCUCCAAGGCUAAAUACUCCUGACUGACCGAUAGUGAACCAGUACCGUGAGGGAAAGGCGAAAAGAACCCCGGCGAGGGGAGUGAAAAAGAACCUGAAACCGUGUACGUACAAGCAGUGGGAGCACCCUUUGG
This 549-nucleotide ribosomal RNA is filed under the name Salmonella enterica subsp. enterica serovar Muenchen. Its description in RNAcentral is "partial 23S ribosomal RNA". It matches the Rfam family "Bacterial large subunit ribosomal RNA", at positions 1 to 591 of the family's 2925-position model. Lineage: Bacteria; Pseudomonadati; Pseudomonadota; Gammaproteobacteria; Enterobacterales; Enterobacteriaceae. RNAcentral also lists the same sequence under 1 other name. The record is from RNAcentral.